Pelobates cultripes (western spadefoot toad) is the source of this 649-nucleotide non-coding RNA. Lineage: Eukaryota; Metazoa; Chordata; Amphibia; Anura; Pelobatidae. The record is from the annotation of a GenBank genome assembly.
GUUGACUCCAUCUCCAGACCUAGCUCACCAAAGAAACUCAGCAAAUAUUCCUCUAAUUUCCCUUCAGAAAUUUGUUCACUUAUCCCUCUAAAACGUAUGUUGUUCCGUCGACUACGAUCUUCCAGAUCGGAUAAUUUUUGUUCCAUCACAUUAUAUUUCUUAGCAAGCUGCUCGUAUUGAGAUUUUAGCUCUCCCUGCAGGUAAUCCACUGCCCCUAGUUUUUCUUCUAUAUUCACCACUUUUUGGUUUAACAGAGCAAUUUCUGUUUUGAUUUCUUGUACAUUGGAUUGGAUUACUAAAGUCAUUUUAUCACACAGUUGCUGUUGACUCUUAUCCAAUAUAUCAGAGAAUGCUACUUGAAACUCUUUGCUCAUGGGUACAUUUGUUUCUCUGUCUUCAACUUGAGUAAAUUACGUUCCCUGCUCGCCAUCUUUUUUCCCAGAAGAUUGAGCAGAGAAAAAAAUUAGACAACUGUGUCGGAUCUUUAAUUUCUUUUUUGUCUUUUUUUAAAGCUUUGUUUUCAGGGUUCUUCUUGGAGGGCAAUUUUAAAAGACCUGCUUACCCCAAUCACCACAAGAGAAAAAGAAUAUUCAGUAUGGUUUCUAUGCCUAAUUGUAUAAUUAGUUUUAGCCAACACCCUGUAGCCAAU